Molecule: microRNA precursor, 69 nt
Filed under: Bombyx mori (domestic silkworm)
Lineage: Eukaryota; Metazoa; Arthropoda; Insecta; Lepidoptera; Bombycidae
Description: mir-2774 microRNA precursor family
Rfam family: mir-2774 microRNA precursor family
Source: Rfam by way of RNAcentral
AUAACAUUCGGACCGUCGGUCUACCGAGCAAUAUCACCCACUCGGUGGGAAGAUCUUUCCCUCCGUCGU